GCGGGUGUCGUAUAAUGGUUAUUAUGCAACCUUCCCAAGGUUGAGACGGCGGUUCGAUUCCGCUCAUCCGCUCAA
RNAcentral lists this transfer RNA (75 nucleotides) under Candidatus Spechtbacteria bacterium RIFCSPLOWO2_01_FULL_46_10. RNAcentral's name for it is "tRNA-Gly". It matches the Rfam family "tRNA". Rfam says of the family: Transfer RNA (tRNA) molecules are approximately 80 nucleotides in length. Their secondary structure includes four short double-helical elements and three loops (D, anti-codon, and T loops). The record is from RNAcentral. Lineage: Bacteria; Candidatus Spechtiibacteriota.